Molecule: small RNA, 6075 nt
Filed under: Rattus norvegicus (Norway rat)
Lineage: Eukaryota; Metazoa; Chordata; Mammalia; Rodentia; Muridae
Description: uncharacterized LOC102548505
Source: RNAcentral
CUUCCUGCUUCUCAGGGGCCAGGCAGUGGAAGAGGAUACUGUUCCGUACGCCCUAGGCUAGGCAGGGACCAACCCCCACUCCCACCCUUCCGACAGGCAGGCCCAGCCUUUCUAUGCAGCGACAGAGAGCUGCAGGGCUCUCAUCAGGAGCUGUGAAGGAGGAGUGGUAGCUGGAAUUCUAAUGACCUUAGUUAGGUGUGGGACAGUAAAGAGAAGCAGAAGGCUCAGGGACAGCCUGGGAGGGGGCGUGGCCUGAGAGAGGCUGGGAGGAGAUAGCGCUGGGCCAAAGCCCUGGAUAGGGGCCCUGGACAGAGAGCUGGGUGGAGUUUAGACAUCCUGAACAUGUUUGGCACACAGUGGCCAUCAGCCACAAUGAGAACAGCAUGAAUGAAGUCAAGGGACACACCCAGAAGAACAGCAAGCUGCCUUGACCAGAACCUCGAAGGAUCGCUUUGAAGCUGACAGAUCUGAUGGUGUUCUGACACUUCUGUCUGUGUAGCAUUCCAAGCGCUAACAACCAGAGAUCAAAAUAUUGGACAACUGUGAGAGAUAUCGAAGAUACCAGCCUGUGGUAUCAAAUGCUCAGCCAAUGUUUCAUUCUUUAUGUAAAAAAUAAAUGUAUCCAUGUCAUUAGCAUAGAGAUUUCUUUCAUCGUUAAUGAAUGGUGAAAUUAUAUCUCUAUCAAGGAAUUGUUUUGAAAUAAAUUUAUUUAUGAUUGGUGAUGAGUCAGCUUGAUUUACACUCCAUCUUCUCUUCCUAUAUGCUUGAGGUCAUGUAAAGUUUUCUUGGGUGAAAUAGAACAGAAAGUGGUAAGUGACAAAUUUCUGUCUUGACACUCAUUUUCCAAGGGUCUUGCUAUGAGGCUGGUUACAUGUCACUUGUGAUAAUGGAGCAAAACUUCACCCUCAGCCAGUCCCCACUAGUGUUCCCUGCUAUGGAGUGCAUUAAUAUCCUAUUGCCUCCUCCUGCUUACUGAUCUUUGACUCCAAAUGAUGAAUCUUAGCAUUUGAGGUAUGGGAUGCCCAUCCCCUAGGAAUCUGUUCUUUUCUAGAAUGACAGUUUAUCUUAGAAGCAAUCUUGUCAUUCAAACUUUCCUUUCUGAUUUGCUCCAUGAGCUCCCACUGGCAUACUUUUGGUUUUAAGAUCUGUUGUAUUUCUUGGCAAGGGCAUCCUAACACCCAGUCACCCUAUUACAUCCCAGGUAAGAAAUAGGAGUAUGCCAAGGAGUUUGUAGAUGGUGAACUGAGCAUUAGAGUAGAGCCUUGCAGUUCAGGAGAGGCUGAAAGGGGCCAGGGGGCUAAGGAGAGGAGACCUGGGACAUGGUGCACCACAGAGCUGGAAUCAGGACAGGAACCCACUCAGAGGGCACACAGCUGGGAAGGGCCCAUGGGGCUACUUAGGAGAGGGACCAAGAAGUUGAGCAGGCCUGUGCUCUACAACCCCUCAUACAUACUGACCCACACUCAUAUGCUCACACACUAAUAUUGCCCACUCAAACACAAAAACAUUCACCGAAACACACAAGUACAAGAUGGCUUCACACUGGAGCUCACAAACACACCAGGCACUCAGAGUCACAGACACUACAUCCACUCAUAUCUAUACUCAAACAUACACACAGACACAUCGUUAGCCAAACACAGGUUCAAAACAAGCAUGCUCACGCACAUGCUCACACACACACACACACACACACACACACAGACACACAGACACGCACGCACGCAUGCACCACACUUCCAUAGCCUGCCACAUUCACCUGUCUCUUCCUUUUAUGGUACCCAAGAAGCCACAGUAGGUGGCAGGUGAUAACAAUGUUUCUGUUUACAGAUGGAGAAACUGAAAGGGAGGGGGCUUCUUGAGAGCUCAAGGAUUUGGCUUAGACCCAGAACUGGAUGUCAGGCUCCGUCCUCCUGACACCCAGCGUGACAUGGAUACACUAGGAGCACGUAGGGACACUGUUGCACCAUAACAGCCUUCUAUCACAUGAGACCUCCCAGGGACAGAAACAUUGAACCAAGGCCAGGGCCAUCGGGAAACUAGUCUGUAUCUCUCUAAGUAACAAAUUGAACCUGGGCCCUGCAGGGCCACUUUCUGCCUCACAUACAGAAGUUUGGAGUACAGAACCCUAUCCACUGUGGUGUCUGCCACCGGACCAGAAGUAGGACUAUGUGUACAGAGCAGGAAGACAGUUCUCUAAGAAUGUCCCACCGCCCACGCAUGCAUGGUGGCAGGAGAUGAAGCCAGCUGUGGCCACAGAGUUCUGGUUCAGAGCAAAUAUUGUCCUAAAGUGGUUCUGGAACGUGCCUUGUGCAUUUGUGUUUUUGUGUGUGUGUUUUGGGAGCUGUUGCAUUGACAGUGGCUGCCAGCCAGCCUCCACAGAGGAAAGUAGGGUAGCUAGACAGUCUCUUGGGGGCCCAGCACCUGCAUCUCACAUCUGUCUCUGCUUUAUAUCUAGGGCUGUCCAUCCGCCAUGAGCUUGUACUGGUGAGGCAGCACAGGUGCCCAUAUGAAGGACUCUCCUGCCAAAGGUUAGGAGGGAGGGCAGACUCAGCUAAGGAACUGAGUCCUAUUACUGGACCAGGUCCAACUGGAGAAAAUGCUCUUACCAACCUUAGAACCAGCCAUUGAAGUCAGUCACCAGAUACUUGUUCCAGAGCUUAGAGUCCUCUGCAGCACCCCAGAGGUAGCCACCAGACCUGGCAACCCCAGACAUGACCUUGGGUACCUGCCAUUCCCUGGACAGGAAGAAUUAGGCAAAUGGUGUGGAGCCAGUUCUCUGGUGUCCACCAUUCCUGCACAGCUGAAGGGCUCACUACUCUCAGCUCCUCAGAUGGACAGAUGAUGGUAAGUCACAUUUUAUCCCCAUGAGUAUGACUAUCAUCAGAGACCUCAUGGACCUGCCCAGUGUUCUCAGGAAUGUUCUAGAAGCAAAGGUAAUAAGGUGCCUAAGGUUAGGAUAGGUGGAACGAGGUAGGCUAUGAAGGAAGGAACUCAGGAAAUAUGGGGACCAGAGCCGCCACUGGAGCCAAGGACAGUUCUUGGCCCUCUGUGUGUGUUAGACACCCGGUAUCAUCAAGUCUACCCAUAUGCUGUUGUGGGGUGUCAAUUCCACCCACUCUUGCUCCCCAUAAGGCUGCCUCAAAUACUAGCUUGUUUAGAUGGCAUUUGUAGGUUGACUCCUGCCCACCUAACAGGUUCUUCCCUGGGCAUUAGAAUUCCAGGUUCUCUCUCAAGGACACCUAGUUUCUCUUCCAAAGAGAAAGCCUUCAGACAGACUUGGCUCCCCAUACAUGUCUCUCAAUGAUGUAAUCUUGCUUGCUCUUCAGUGAAUUUCGUUUGGUACCCGGCACAGGUCGGUGGGCACACAGAGGUAGUGGCCAAGUUAGAAUUUGAGGCUCUGGGGAAAGUUAGGACCCUCUGGCCCAAAAUCAUUCCUCUUAUUUUGUAUACCUCUUCUCCUUUGUGGUUUGUUUGUUUGUUUGUUUGUUUGUUUGUUUUGUGGUGAAUGAGCUGGAGAGUGUAGUAUAUGCUCAUGUGUAUGUAUGUCUGUGUGCACGCAGAUGCAUGUGUGUACAUGGGUGUGGAGGCCAGAGGUCAACAUCAGAUGCCUUCCACUAUUGUUCUCUGCCUUAUUAUUUGUUUGUUUGUUUGUUUGUUUGUUUGUUUGAGACAGGGAUGUUAGAACUUGGAGCUCACCAAUUAGCUAGGCUGGCUGAAAACUGAGCUCCUCUGUGCAGCCUCCAAUGCCCAGCUAGAGGUAACCCUCAAUUCCCAGCCUAGCCAUGUGCUUUCUAGGGCCCAAGUUGUUACUGGACUAGACUUUUGCCAAAUCUUCUGAGCUGGUACUGUGAGGCAGAGGUGAGGGAUGGACCAACAGGAAAUCAGGUGAGGCCAGCAUGAUUUUUCUAAGGGGCUGACCCAGCCAUGGCCCUUUCUACAGAUCUCUCUAGGUCUCUGCCUUCUUCUUCUGGGACCAGAAAACCCUGCAUAUCCCUCUUAACCAUUACUGAAUGUUGGGGGUGAUCUGUGAUGGGAAAGACGGAGCUUGGGACUCAGCUAAGAGAUCCAGAUACCCCCAUGUAUUCUACACAUCAUUUUGGAGAAUGUGGGGGGCCUGGAAAGAAAUAAGUGGCCCCCUGAAGCCCAAAAGUAGCCCAGAUGGACACAGGCAUGCGGGCAAGGAUAAGUGUCCCGACUGUGGGGAGGAAGUCAGGAUGAUGUGGGCAGUUGUGGUCUCUGUGGGUCUGACACAGAGGUUCAUUGCUGUAAACAUUCCUUCUCUGAAGGCGUCCUGGGAACUUCAGGUACCGCCCUCAGGGGACUGCAGAAAUGUCUCUCCCUGGCCUUCUCAAUCCCACAGCCACCUACCUCCAUGCCUUUCUCACCUGGUCACCUCAGGGCCUUGAGAAACCAAAACCUCCCCCACAAACACCUUCCACCUGAGAUCCCUGACCUACCCCAGGUCUUGGAACCACAGACCCCAAAACCUGACACUCUUGCCAUCACAGCCAUUUGGAGGCCUCCUGUAUCCCUUUUUCCAGUGUGACAAAAGCCACCAUGGGAGACAUGCCCUGACCCUCAGCCAUCACCCCAUAACCUGAUCUUGAGUUUCUCAGACCUGGGGAAGACCCUCGAAUGUGGGAAACCCCCCCUAAAGUUUCCAUAGGAGCUUUCAACCUGGAGCAGAUAAAUGCUGGAAUGAAGACCUUCCUGAAUGCUACUCAGGCUGUCACGUCUCCCUGGCUCCCCAGCCCAUUCUUGUCUAAUUCCAAAGCAGAUCCGCUGGACUUCAGAGAGACUGUGGGAUGCCUUGCCUUUAAUUACAACCAGAACUUGAAAACUCAAAGAAGGAGCCACUGGCCUUCUCCCCCACAUCACACCCCAAGCUGAGAGUUCUCGCAGAGCUCACACCGCAGGACCUAGAGCUUUCCUUCUCUUCCUUCAAGGAGGAUGUGGAGAUUUUGAAUCCAUUCUUCUGACGCCUGCUCUUUCCCUGAGACUUGCAGUAGGCUCCUCUCCUGACUGAUGUUUUAUAAUGGUAGGGCAACCGGGACUGACCAGAGGGGCAACGGUUAAAAGCACAGCUCAGAGACCUCAAGGCUUUGCCACGUAUUCUUUUUUUGACAGCCUUAGAGGUAUGAUGACUUCAACCCCUGCCCUCAUAAAGAACAACUCACUGGGGGCUGGAGAGAUGGCUCAGUGGUUAAGAGUGUUGUUGCUCUUACAGAGGACCUGGGCUCAGUUCUGUGACUCAACAACCAUCGGUAGAAGAGAGCCCUCUGAGAGCUCUGUGCCCCAAGUGUAAACACAGACACACAUGUGCAUCUAUGUGAACGAGGUACACUAACCAUCUGACUGGAGACAGACUAAGAAGAGCAGUGGAUUUGAUAGCAUGUGGCUCCCAGAGUGGGUUCCCUGAGGCUGCUGUCUGUGGGAUUGCCACAGAGAUGCCACAACCUGGGUGUUUCUGCCAUCUUUGGAGGUGGGGGCCACGGUCUAUGGAGAGCAGCUCAAAACCUCCAGGAUUCUACUCAUACCUGUCCUCGCUGUUCUGGUAGCUUUUUACUUUUGACUAUCAACCUCAUUGGAUUGAGACACCUAGGACAUCUGCGCAAACAUUUCCAGAGACAAUAAACUGGGCAGUGUGUGUAUGUGUGGAAAGGCUUGGUUAUUGGUGGCACCAUCCAUCGGCUACGGUCCCCGAUGGAAGAAAAGCAAAGGGGAGAAAGUAAGCUAAACACCAGCAUUCCCCGCUCUGCCCCCUGGUCUGCUGAUGUGAAGACAAGCAGCUCGGGUGCACACUGUCAUGGAGCUGCCUACAACCAUGACCUUCCCACCAGGAUGCCCUAUAUCCCCUAGCCUGUGGGAGGGAAAAAAUCCUUCCUCCUUUAAGUUGUUUUUAUCAGGUAUUUGGUUAUAGAAAUGAGGAGUAAUUCAUUCCUGGUUUGCUCAUACGAGAAGGGCUCGUCUCAUCUUUCAGACCCUAUGAAGCAACUCACUGGACAAUAACUCGUUGCUUUCAAGGGAAGCCAGAAGUCACCAUACAUGACAUUGUGUGCUGGCAAAUGGAUA